GCAUCGAUGAAGAACGCAGCGAAAUGCGAUAAGUAAUGUGAAUUGCAAAAUUCAGGGAAUCAUCGAAUCUUUGAACGCACCUUGCGCCCUUUGGCUAUUCCGAAGGGCAUGCCUGUUUGAGUAUCAUGAACACCUCAACUCCUCAUGGUUUGCCAUGAUGAGCUUGGACUUUGGGGGCCUUGCUGGCCUGUGGUCGGCUCCUCUCAAAUGAAUCAGCUUGCCAGUGUUUGGUGGCAUCACGGGUGUGAUAACUAUCUACGCUUGUGGUUCNGUGCCAAAUAACCUUCAGCAGUGGGGGUUCACUGGAGCUCAUAAACGUCUUUCCUCAGUGGGGGACAG
Molecule: ribosomal RNA, 339 nt
Filed under: uncultured Thelephorales
Lineage: Eukaryota; Fungi; Basidiomycota; Agaricomycetes; Thelephorales
Description: eukaryotic LSU rRNA
Rfam family: 5.8S ribosomal RNA (bases 1-126)
Source: RNAcentral